ACGAAUAUAAAACAUCACUUUUAUUAAAUAUAAUAAAGAUUCGUUACAAGUAAAAUAUUACAGAUGAAUCCAGGCCUAGUGCCAAUAUCGAGUCAAAGACUUUAACUAGUACCGUUUUACAAAAGGAAAGGCAAAAGUACUUCCGGUGCUCCUAACGUCCAGUUUCCAUGCUACCCGGUCUCCCACUAAGGUUUCCUGCAACAAUAGGUGAGUUUAAUGAGUAACCUAUUGUAACUCAGUGAGCCAGGCCCCCAACUAACAAAUACAACCCCUCGCCAUCCCAACCACAAACAAUCUAAGACGAGGAGUUCACCUAACAAUAACACAACAAUAAUAAUCAUCACUCGAGACUUCCCCCGUGAAAACCCGAGUGACUUAACAAGAACAUAAAUAAGAUAAGAAGCAGAAUAUAAUCCACCAUUAGCAUAAUAAUAUAAUAUAUGCUAAGACUCUCUACACCUUCACUACACAUCCUCACUCGAGCUUUUUCAUCAUAUACACAACCAUGGAACACCUAACUCGCAGCCACAAAAGCACACGGGUUAGAACAUCCACCAUAACUGACAUGUAACCCCGAUAAGGUAUCAAAUGACAGAGCAUGCUUUCUAGCAACCUCUCCGUACAGAGCAUGCUUUAUGCAACCUCUCUGCCCAGCCACGUAGGGACAUACUCUAGCAACCUUCCUUGCCGCAAACUAACAUGAAGCACCACCAAGGAUACAACAUGACGGAGCAUGCUUUCUAGCAACCUUCCCGUACAGAGCAUGCUUUAUGCAACCUCUCUGCCAAGCCGCGUAGGGACAUGCUUACGUAACCUUCCUUGCCGCGUAACAUCCUAGCAUUGCUGAUCAGGCAAGCUAUCGACAAAGCUCGAUACUAAACAUUAGUACUAGCAAUCCUGCCUAUAUGGCCUAGGACGCUAAGUACAACACUAACUAGGAACUCAGCCGAUAUGGCCUAGAUCCCGAUCCUCUACUAACUCAACCAUAAUAUUACAUACUUGAAAUUCGGUCUAUAUGACCUAAAUUCCAUAGUACUAACCAAUAACAUCAUCACAAUCCCAGCAUGCAAACAUACAAUAACGCAAUAGCAAUAAUCAUCCAAGCAUGCAAUCAACCAAAGAUAGAUUCCAGAAUACCUAUCUAACCACAACCUAGCGAUAUUAUCUAAGGGUUCGCAUUCGCUAACUAACCAAGCAACCUAACCAUUAGCAUGCUACUACGAUUCCCAAACAAUAACUAAGCAUGCUAUCAACUCAAUCAACCAAACCUCGACUAUUAACUAAUCAAACUGUUACUCAGUUAGACCCGGCCUCCUGCCAUGAUCCAACUUCCAAGUAACAGGAACCUGCAUGAAAACAAGUCAGCAAUCGAUUGCCGUGACUCACAGUGUUUGGUUCGUUGUGGCUUUGACCCUUGAAUUUCCGUGACUCACAGUGUUUGGUUCGUUGUGGCUUUGACCCUUGCCCGAAUCCUCGACCAAAACCCUUUCUUGAACACCUCAAGUGGCCUCCUAUCGCAAAUGACCUCAAUAACGUGCCUAACCUUGAAUGGCCUCCCUGGAACAACUCUCAACUCAAACAGAAACUUCUAUAGGCGUCGAUCCAAAACUUGUGUAGUAACUGAUCCCGAAAACUCUUGAAAACUAUCGAAACCUCUUGCUUUCUCUCUUUACUUUCUUUCACGUUUUUAAACUGAUCUGAAGUUGUCUGGAUGUGUUGAAAUGUGAAGGUGGGCGUGCCUAUUUAUAGAAUACAGCAGCCAAUCAGAUUCAGGUCGGUGGCAGCCCGUGUGUCGGCUCACAUGGCUCAGGUUGCAUGCGCGGCGGGACCUCGUGCUCCACAUGUCUUUCAGCAUGGCCGGGGCUCAUGCAAAGUGACACCUCUUAUCCUUCCUGGACGACUAGAUGUUCAUCAGCAUGUCUGGAUCACAUGCACGGCAACACACGGUCCCCACAUGUCGAUCAGCAUGCUGCGGUUGCAGAUAUGGCGACAUCUCGUUCUUCUGUGUGUCAGUCCGUAUGUGCUGCUUCCAUGCUUGCCGACACCUCGUGCUUGUGUAGACAGACAGCUUAUCAUAUGGUUGACACCACGUCCUGAUGACAUGCAUUGAGACGCCUCCAGCUUCUCGGUCGAUUUACGCGAUCUUGACCCUUCCGGCAUAUUUUUGGCCCACGAUUAAUCCCAAAUAUUUUCCUGCUCCCGUUCUGACGUUCGGAAUAUUUUUAAUAAACUCCAGACUCCAUUAUAACCUUGACGGUAAUAUUUCCCGAGCCUCCGGCUUCCUCAAAGAAUUCCAUAAUACCAAAAUUAGGGAUUUUGGUAACUUCGGGUUUUUUCGGCUUGCUUCGUCCCCAUCGUGCUUGCUUCCUGUCAUGCUUAAUUUCUGUCCUGCUCCCAAAUUAUGAUGUCUCUGAAUUAAUAUUCCGCUAAUAUGAAGUUUUGCGGAUUACUUCGUGGUUAAGAAACGUCGGGUUUCAAAAACGUCGAGCUUCUAAAACCAUCGUCCUUGAAAAAUGUGAUGCUUCCAAAACCUCCGUCUGAUCAAUCUGAGACAUCUUCUAACUAUUGUUGAGGAACUUAUUCGAGUCAUAGUUAACUCACGAUCAAUUCUUCGACCACCUCGUUCUUCAAAAUUUCCCGAUCGAUCUUUAUCGCCCGCGAUUCGACCACCAAGUUGGUGUUCGACCAAUCUUCUGUCUCGAUCAUUCUUAUCCCGAAGGGCGGGUUAUCACAUUCUCCCCCCCCCCCCCCCCCUAAAANNNNNNNNNNNNNNNNNNNNNNNNNCCCCCCCCCCCUUAAUAGAACUCAUCCUCCAAUUCUUAGUUGCGCAAUCGCUUAUCGUUACGACAUUCUCAACUCGUCUCCAUAUAUCUUUACGCUGUCCACAACGGUUCCUUGAGUGUCUUCCUCAAGGUCUCCUCAAUUGUCUUAAUAUCUCUUCACUGGAAUGAUCACCGAGUCGUCCUCUUGCCUCUACUCUGCUGGAACACUCAUUCGGUAUAAUACUAUCUUGUCAUCUCGAUUGAUACCAUACUCGUACUUAGUCACUUCUUCAACUUGAUUUCUUGUGAUGAUCAAGUCUUCCAUUUCUAUCAUGUCCUUUCGAUAGAUAUCUCCUCAGAACCAAACAUGUACCCAACAUAGCCACCAAUCUUCAAGGGUUUGGUCUUCGGGGGUUAUUACCUGCCACAACGUUCCUACACACAACAAGAACACAAACCACAAGUUCUCGUGCAAAAGCACAGAACGUCUAUUAAAAAAACUAAUAUUUUCCCAACACAUCAGAACCAAUCAGGCAAAUAAACACUCAAACAAGGAAGUUAAAACCCCUACUUACCUUGUAGGCCUGAAGGUUAAGGUUUUUCUAAAGAUCUAGAUCCUAUUUCUUCUCUUUCUCGGGGGUCUGUCUUCCAGUAGGGCAAGUGGGGAAUGUUCUUCUGCUAAUGCAACUUUCUCUGCCAUGCAGUGUCGAGCAAUGUGACCAACCUCUCCACAAUAAAAACAUCCUUGGUUUCCAUCCCAAGAUAUUGAGUCAUGGCUUCUUUUUCUAGAUAGGCAUUGCUGACUGGAAUCCUUGAACUGAACUAUAUGUUUUCCCUUCUGGCCACUAACGCCUUUUCUUUUUGAUUCAUACUUGGCUUCUGCUGCUACCGCAACUUCCACAUUUACGGCCCUCUCGACUAAGUCUGUGAGAUUUCCAUAGUUGCCUACCGCGACUCUACUACCUAGUUCAGAUCGCAAUCCAUACAUGAAGUUUCAGAUCAUUGUUGCUUCGUUCUCUUGGCCGUUAAAUACAUAGCAACGAAGACUUGUGAAUUCCGCUUUAUAUUCUCGUACUGUCCUAUCCCCUUGGGCAAGAUUGAUGAACUGCCUCUCCAAUCGAUGUCUUGCCUCGGGUGGGAAGUACUUCCUUCUGAACUCCUUUUGAAACACGUCCCAAGAUUUAAUAUGAUUUCCAUGUUGACGUUCCACGCUUUCCCACCAGUUACGAGCAUCUCCUUGUAGAUAGUAAACCGCCACUCUCUUCUUGUAUUUUUCUGGACAGAUCAUGGCUUCAAAGUUUAUAUCCAUCAUGUGCAUCCACUCUUCUGCCUCAAACGUGUUGAUUCCUCCUUUGAACUUAUAUGUUUCCAAACCCUUCAUCGUCUUCAAGAUCUUCAGAUACUCCAUGUUUAAGGAUUCCUCAGGUUGUGCAAUCCUUGAAACUUGGCGUAGCAUUUGAGUAAACAAAUCUACCAGAAUUCCCAGUGGAAUUUCAGCCUCUUGAUUCCCUCUUCGUCUUGGUUGUUCAUUUGAAUAUGAACUUGCUGGCAACGGUGAUUGACUAUGUCCCUGACUUCUUGAAAACUGAUUUCCAUAACGUUGACUCAUAUCUCGGUGAUCCAUUCUGCCCCUUGUAGAAAACCCUUGUUCUGAAUCCCCAAAUGCUCGACCAUCUCUUGACGACCAUCCCCACUGCCUACCUUGACUUGCACCCCGAUUAUUCAUCUACAACCAACGAAAAGGUAAAUCAUAAAUUUCUUACCCAGAAUGGCUGGACGUGACCCGAAUACUCUAAAUGCCUUUCAAAUAUUUUAUGACUCGAUAAAAUAUUUGAAAACCGAUUAAAAACGCAGGUUCUGAAAGCAUGGACGAAACCAUGCUCUGAUACCACCUCUGUAACACCCCCGAACCGUCCUAGGCAUAGGUCGAGCCAUCGGCCAACAAUAAAAUAAGAACAUGACCGACGGACGACCUACACCAAGGGUUGGAGAUGAAAGGCCAAUCGGCCAGCCAACAAUCAAACAAGAACAUGACUGACCGUCCAACCCAACAGCAUGGUCCGGAAGCGCUACAUGACGGGCUAGGGACAAUCCAGUCAAAGUCACAGAACUUAAUCCGCAACAUCUACCAGUUCAUCCCCUAACACGUCCCGCUAAAUCAUGGCUUAAGGCUUUGCAACCCGUACUAUGAGUUAACGGUUCCGUUAGAUCGCGGCCUAAGGCUUUUCAACCCGUACCUAAACCUAACGUUGUGUUUAGACCAGACAAGUCUAUUUAUCAGAGAACCAUUGUAACGAAUAUAAAACAUCACUUUUAUUAAAUAUAGUAAAGAUUCGUUACAAGUAAAAUAUUACAGAUGGAUCCAAGCCUAGUGCCAAUAUCGAUUCAAAGAAUUUAAGUAGUACCGUUUUACAAUAGGAAAGGCAAAAGUACUUCCGGUGCUCCUAACGUCCAGCUUCCAUGCUACCCGGUCUCCCACUAAGGUUUCCUGCAACAAUAGGUGAGUUUAAUGAGUAACCUAAUGUCACUCAGUGAGCCAGGACCCCAACUAACAAAUACAACCCCUCGCCAUUCCAACCCCAAACAAUCUAAGACGAGGAGUUCACCUAACAAUAACAACAAUAAUAAUCAUCACUCGAGAAUUCCCCAGUGGAAACCCAAGUGACUCAACAAGAACAUAAAUAAGAUAAGCAGCAGAAUAUAAUCCACCAUUAGCAUAAUAAUAUAAUAUAUGCUAAGACUCUCUACACCUUCACUACACAUCCUCACUCGAGCUUUUUAAUCAUAUACACAACCAUGGAACACUUAACUCGCAGCCACAAAGGCACACGGGUUAGAACAUCCAACAUAACUGACAUGUA
RNAcentral lists this long non-coding RNA (5623 nucleotides) under Brassica napus (rape). RNAcentral describes it as "long non-coding RNA (BNAP_LNC002334)". Lineage: Eukaryota; Viridiplantae; Streptophyta; Magnoliopsida; Brassicales; Brassicaceae. The record is from RNAcentral.